UCUCCGUUGGUGAACCAGCGGAGGGAUCAUUACCGAGUUAUACAACUCCCAAACCCACUGUGAACCUUACCUCAGUUGCCUCGGCGGGACCGCCCCGGCCGCCGCGCAAGCGGCGCCGGACUCCAAGGCGCCCGCCGCAGGGACCCAAAACUCUUUUGCAUUACGCCCAACGGCGGGAAUUUUUUUCUCUGAGUGCAUAAGCAAAACAAAUGAAUCAAAACUUUCAACAACGGAUCUCUUGGUUCUG
This 247-nucleotide unclassified non-coding RNA is filed under the name Purpureocillium sp. Its description in RNAcentral is "partial contains small subunit ribosomal RNA, internal transcribed spacer 1, and 5.8S ribosomal RNA". RNAcentral also lists the same sequence under 1 other name. The record is from RNAcentral. Lineage: Eukaryota; Fungi; Ascomycota; Sordariomycetes; Hypocreales; Ophiocordycipitaceae.